Drosophila novamexicana is the source of this 580-nucleotide long non-coding RNA. RefSeq lists it as uncharacterized. The record is from RefSeq and is a predicted model, not a curated record. NCBI's taxonomy places the organism in Eukaryota, Metazoa, Arthropoda, Insecta, Diptera, Drosophilidae. The transcript is spliced from 3 exons.
GGCAGCGGGCAGCGAAGCAGCAACUAAACAUAUGUCACAAAGCAAGCUCUACUCUCUCUCUCGCUCUUGCUCUCUCUUUUAUUUUUUCUCUAUUUCCAUGUCGGUGCGUUUGCCGGUGGCGUUGACUGCGCUGCUUUUAUGAUUCAUUUAUCAACGUCAAGCGUCAAAAGUCAAUGCAGUGACAGCGGCGGCGUCAACGCCGGCAGCAGCAAAUACUACAAUAACAACCAUGUACUAUGUGGCGCUGGGUGUGAAAAUUAUAGGCAAACAAUUAUUUUUUGUCUGUGCACUCGUAUGCUUGUUGGCCGUCUGCCCAACAUCAAGAGCGCAAUGAUGACGAACAUCGACGAUAGAUUUGAGCACCCUGUUUUCAUUUGCGAAAGAGCAUAUGAGUGUGGCAUGUCAGUUCCUAUAAACAAAGGUCGUUUUCUGAAGCCAUUAAAUAAUUGACUGAACUUUGGUUAAUCUAGAUGCCUUUCACUGCUAUUUUGGCCCUGGCAAUAAGUUGCGAAGAGUAUCUAGCAGUCGUGACUGCGAAUGCAACGUUCUUUUAUUUUGUAACUUAUAUUUGAAGUUCAAG